AAUAGAUACCCAGGUAGUCCACGCCGUAAACGAUGAGUGCUAAGUGUUAGAGGGUUUCCGCCCUUUAGUGCUGCAGCUAACGCAUUAAGCACUCCGCCUGGGGAGUACGGCCGCAAGGCUGAAACUCAAAGGAAUUGACGGGGGCCCGCACAAGCGGUGGAGCAUGUGGUUUAAUUCGAAGCAACGCGAAGAACCUUACCAGGUCUUGACAUCCUCUGCCAACCCUAGAGAUAGGGCGUUCCCCUUCGGGGGACAGAGUGACAGGUGGUGCAUGGUUGUCGUCAGCUCGUGUCGUGAGAUGUUGGGUUAAGUCCCGCAACGAGCGCAACCCUUGAUCUUAGUUGCCAGCAUUCAGUUGGGCACUCUAAGGCGACUGCCGGUGACAAACCGGAGGAAGGUGGGGAUGACGUCAAAUCAUCAUGCCCCUUAUGACCUGGGCUACACACGUGCUACAAUGGAUGGUACAAAGAGCUGCGAACCCGCGAGGGUAAGCGAAUCUCAUAAAGCCAUUCUCAGUUCGGAUUGUAGG
RNAcentral lists this ribosomal RNA (529 nucleotides) under uncultured bacterium. RNAcentral's name for it is "bacterial SSU rRNA". It matches the Rfam family "Bacterial small subunit ribosomal RNA", at positions 777 to 1304 of the family's 1533-position model. The record is from RNAcentral.